This 850-nucleotide long non-coding RNA is filed under the name Homo sapiens (human). RNAcentral's name for it is "HSALNT0367380". The record is from RNAcentral. Lineage: Eukaryota; Metazoa; Chordata; Mammalia; Primates; Hominidae.
UCACCUUUACCAACACCAAGGGAGCCAGCCCUGAGAGUUCAUGCCAAGUCAUCUUUCUCCUGCUUUGUUCCCUGGAACUGAUAAACUGCUGCUUCGAAAAACCAGAAGGCCUUGCCUCUAUUUUGUUUUCAGUUCUACUCCCUAAGAGCCUCAGCAUAAAUAUGAGAGGAGAUAAAGGGAAAGUUAAGAAACUUCUGUUAGCAUUCUGAUGUUCAAACCCAAGUCUUGAUCUUCCUGUUGAGGGCCAUCCAAGAGCACCAUGAUGAAGUGGAAAGAGAUUGUUCACAAGAAUGAUCACUUACAGAAGACUGAGCCCAAGGCCCUUGCUGAUGGAUUCCCAGACUUAUAUGCAUCCGAGAUUGAAGAACUUAAACAUCUUGCCCUUGCCAUGACCACAAAUCAGAGAGUAAUAAAAUUUAAUGUCCAUGGACUUUGACCUUCAAAAGACCAAAGACAGGCUGUUUCAAGAACGCGGUCUUGAACAAUUUGUUGACAUCUUCACAAAAGAAAAAUAAUUCUCUAAAUCAGUAACUGAGUCUCCGGAAGGUUUCUUCUUGGAAACCCCCACAUAGUCUCAUGAGCACCUACAAUGACAGAAAGGGAAGCCGGAGUGCCUACACUUUUUAUCUAGCCUCCCUUGCAAAUACAGAUGACUAUGUCACAUACUUCUGGCCACAGAGACUGAAGCAGAGGUCUGCUGGGGGACCUUCUGGAAAACAUAUGCUUCACUGAUAAAAGGGACAGAUAGAGUUUAUUGAUAUCUUACAGCUAACAUUAUAAUUAAUGAGGGAAAACAGAAAGUCCACUAAAAUCCAGUACAAGACAAGGAUGUCCACUCUUGUCACUUCUA